This 506-nucleotide ribosomal RNA is filed under the name uncultured bacterium. RNAcentral's name for it is "partial 16S ribosomal RNA". It matches the Rfam family "Bacterial small subunit ribosomal RNA", at positions 31 to 523 of the family's 1533-position model. The record is from RNAcentral.
AUAGAACGCUGGCGGCAGGUCUAACACAUGCAAGUCGAACGGUAACAGGAAGAGGCUUGCUUCUUUGCUGACGAGUGGCGGACGGGUGAGUAAUGUCUGGGAAACUGCCUGAUGGAGGGGGAUAACUACUGGAAACGGUAGCUAAUACCGCAUAACGUCGCAAGACCAAAGAGGGGGACCUUCGGGCACCUUGCCAUCGGCUUUGCCCAGAUGGGAUUAGCUUGUUGGUGGGGUAACGGCUAACCAAGGCGACGAUCCCUAGCUGGUCUGAGAGGAUGACCAGCCACACUGGAACUGAGACACGGUCCAGACUCCUACGGGAGGCAGCAGUGAGGAAUAUUGCACAAUGGGCGCAAGCCUGAUGCAGCCAUGCCGCGUGUAUGAAGAAGGCCUUCGGGUUGUAAAGUACUUUCAGCGGGGAGGAAGGGAGUAAAGUUAAUACCUUUGCUCAUUGACGUUACCCGCAGAAGAAGCACCGGCUAACUCCGUGCCAGCCGCCGCGGUAA